Molecule: ribosomal RNA, 254 nt
Filed under: uncultured bacterium
Lineage: Bacteria
Description: partial 16S ribosomal RNA
Rfam family: Bacterial small subunit ribosomal RNA
Source: RNAcentral
UACAGAGGGGGCAAGCGUUGUUCGGAAUUACUGGGCGUAAAGGGCGCGUAGGCGGCCUACUAAGUCGAACGUGAAAUCCCCGGGCUUAACCCGGGAACUGCGUCCGAUACUGGUUGGGCUUGAAUCCGGGAGAGGGAUGUGGAAUUCCAGGUGUAGCGGUGAAAUGCGUAGAUAUCUGGAGGAACACCGGUGGCGAAGGCGGCAUCCUGGACCGGUAUUGACGCUGAGGAGCGAAAGCGUGGGGAGCGAACAGG